GAUGAACGCUGGCGGCGUGCUUAACACAUGCAAGUCGAGCGAGUGAGUUCUUCGGAACGAUCUAGCGGCGGACGGGUGAGUAACACGUGGGCAACCUGCCUCAUAGAGGGGAAUAGCCUCCCGAAAGGGAGAUUAAUACCGCAUAAAAUUAUCGAGUGGCAUCACAUGAUAAUCAAAGGAGUAAUCCGCUAUGAGAUGGGCCCGCGGCGCAUUAGCUAGUUGGUGAGGUAACGGCUCACCAAGGCGACGAUGCGUAGCCGACCUGAGAGGGUGAUCGGCCACAUUGGGACUGAGACGCGGCCCAGACUCCUACGGGAGGCAGCAGUAGGGAAUAUUGCACAAUGGGGGAAACCCUGAUGCAGCAACGCCGCGUGAGUGAUGAAGGUCUUCGGAUUGUGAAGCUCUGUCUUUGGGGACGAUAAUGACGGUACCCAAGGAGGAAGCCACGGCUAACUACGUGCCAGCCGCCGCAGUAA
This 476-nucleotide ribosomal RNA is filed under the name uncultured bacterium. Its description in RNAcentral is "partial 16S ribosomal RNA". It matches the Rfam family "Bacterial small subunit ribosomal RNA", at positions 28 to 523 of the family's 1533-position model. The record is from RNAcentral.